Molecule: ribosomal RNA, 465 nt
Filed under: uncultured bacterium
Lineage: Bacteria
Description: partial 16S ribosomal RNA
Rfam family: Bacterial small subunit ribosomal RNA
Source: RNAcentral
GACGAACGCUGGCGGCGUGCUUAACACAUGCAAGUCGAACGGAAAGGCCCCUUUGGGGGUCCUCGAGUGGCGAACGGGUGAGUAACACGUGAGUAACCUGCCCUUGACUUCGGGAUAACUUCAGGAAACUGGGGCUAAUACCGGAUAGGAAUCCUUGCUGCAUGGUGGGGGUUGGAAAGCUUCGGCGGUUUUGGAUGGACUCGCGGCUUAUCAGCUUGUUGGUGGGGUAGUGGCUUACCAAGGCUUUGACGGGUAGCCGGCCUGAGAGGGCGACCGGCCACAUUGGGACUGAGAUACGGCCCAGACUCCUACGGGAGGCAGCAGUGGGGAACAUUGCACAAUGGGCCGAAGCCUGAUGCCGCACCGCCGCGUGCGGGAUGACGGCCUUCGGGUUGUAAACCGCUUUCAGCAGGGGCGAAGCUUGUGGUGACGGUACCUGCAGAAGAAGCACCGGCUAACUACGUG